AUAUUUGCACUUAAGAAGUUACAGAUUCUUCUUCUAUUUUAAACCACCAGCUUGUGUUAAGCACAAUUUCGUCAGCUACCGUCCAGUGGUUAUAUAUACAAGUGGCAAAAACAUACAAAGACGAUGUUCAAACCGUGACUCUGCGGUUCAUUACAAUUGGACUGUGUUGAGCGGUGUUGAGUCUCGGAAAGGAUGUCGGUGAGCUUGUAGAUAGAACCACAACCAUACAGACAGCGUAGUGAAUUCCAAAACGGCCAAAUACACUUCACGAUUCUCAGAUACCAUCAAAAGAGGGAUGGAGGUAGGCAAUGGGACACGCAAGCAUAUUCCGUGUAUGCGUCGAAUACCGAAACAUUAAUAUGUGACGAGUAUUUAAUGUCGAGUACCAAAGUUCUUCUUUAACUGGUUGUGGAUGCAUCACAGGAAAAUAAUCUGAUAUAAAUGUACCUUGUAUAUAUGUACCAUGGAUAAAGGUUAAGUUUAUUUUA
This is a long non-coding RNA of Nicrophorus vespilloides, 488 nucleotides long. RefSeq lists it as uncharacterized. The transcript has 2 exons. The record is from RefSeq and is a predicted model, not a curated record. NCBI's taxonomy places the organism in Eukaryota, Metazoa, Arthropoda, Insecta, Coleoptera, Silphidae.